GACGAACCACACAAACGUUAUUCGGAACUACUGGGCUUAAAGGGUGCGUAGGCGGCGCAGAAAGUAGGGUGUGAAAUCCCUCGGCUCAACCGAGGAACUGCGCCCUAAACUACUGUGCUCGAGGGAGGUAGAGGUGAGCGGAACUUAGGGUGGAGCGGUGAAAUGCGUUGAUAUCCUAAGGAACACCGGUGGCGAAAGCGGCUCACUGGACCUCUUCUGACGCUGAGGCACGAAAGCUAGGGUAGCGAACGGG
This 253-nucleotide ribosomal RNA is filed under the name uncultured bacterium. Its description in RNAcentral is "partial 16S ribosomal RNA". It matches the Rfam family "Bacterial small subunit ribosomal RNA", at positions 524 to 776 of the family's 1533-position model. The record is from RNAcentral.